RNAcentral lists this ribosomal RNA (366 nucleotides) under uncultured organism. RNAcentral's name for it is "bacterial SSU rRNA". It matches the Rfam family "Bacterial small subunit ribosomal RNA", at positions 526 to 896 of the family's 1533-position model. The record is from RNAcentral.
CGAAGGUCCCAAGCGUUAUCCGGAUUUAUGGGUUUAAAGGUGCGUAGGCGGGUUAUUAAGUCAGUGGUGAAAGCCUACAGCUUAACUGUAGAACUGCCAUUGAUACUGAUGAUCUUGAGUACGAUUGAGGUAGGCGGAAUGUGUCAUGUAGCGGUGAAAUGCUUAGAUAUGACACAGAACACCGAUUGCGAAGGCAGCUUACUAAGUCGUAACUGACGCUGAUGCACGAAAGCGUGGGGAGCAAACAGGAUUAGAUACCCUGGUAGUCCACGCCCUAAACGAUGAUCACUCGAUGUGUGCGAUGCACUGUACGCGUCUGAGCGAAAGCAUUAAGUGAUCCACCUGGGGAGUACGACCGCAAGGUUG